Long non-coding RNA from Harmonia axyridis, 723 nucleotides. RefSeq lists it as uncharacterized. The record is from RefSeq and is a predicted model, not a curated record. Lineage: Eukaryota; Metazoa; Arthropoda; Insecta; Coleoptera; Coccinellidae. The transcript has 3 exons.
UUGAAUGUUCAAUAUUUAAUUGUGUGAAGGCACUGAAUCGGUAUGUGUUCAUUUCUCAAUAAUGCACUUCAAGCUGUCAAUAAUGACGAAUUCAAAGUAAAAUGUUGAUGUUUCAAUGUGAACAAGUUAUUAUCGGUGAGGAGGUAGUAUUAUCAGUACGCUUUCCAUUUUAAUAGGCUUCUCAGACAUUCUCAAUGAAAUGAACUAUCACCUAAAAAAAUAUAUUUGAUGUACGAGAUGCUUCAAUUGUUAGGAGCUUAUUUGGUGCCUACGAUGGAUGCCAUUACUAGACAAAUAACACAACCAAAUAUAGAAUUGAAGAUUCUCAGGGAUGAUUCCUGUUUGUUGGAAGGUAGAUUCAGGAAGUGGAAGAUCAUAUAGAGUAUUGGAAAAAAUAAAAUGGACAACCCCAAACAGCCAUUUAUAAAAGGCAUUGCAUCGGAGAUGAUAUAAAAUUUAUGAAUGAAUUGUAUAAUAUGUUUAUUUUGAUGACAGAAGAUUCAAAUUCCAUAGUUUUUUUUAGAGUGGUUGAUAUUCGCUUCAAAAUUAUAUAUUUUACCUAGAUUUUUCUAGAGAAUCCUUAAUGGUUUGGUCUUAUUUUCACAAGCUCCAAACAUUUUCUAGUGUAAAUGUAUAUUUUAUAAGAAAAAAUGAAAGUGUACAAAAUAUAAACAUAAUAUUAUAUAUUAUUAUACAAGGUGUCCCGUAAAGACCACGUCAAAC